Caretta caretta (loggerhead turtle) is the source of this 841-nucleotide long non-coding RNA. RefSeq lists it as uncharacterized. The record is from RefSeq and is a predicted model, not a curated record. NCBI's taxonomy places the organism in Eukaryota, Metazoa, Chordata, Testudines, Cheloniidae.
CUGGCUUGGAGCGGAGCCACCCGGAGUGGUGGGUCCCGCCUGGCUCCCUCGGUCUGUGACGUGGGGCAACCUGUUUGGUCCCACAGCCCAGAAACAACUGGGGGCGGUGGGGCGCCUUGACCGCUGGGGCCCCUGCCUCCUCUGGGGCCCCAGCUCCACCUCCCUGCCCUCUCUGCUGGCAGUCCCCUGUCUCCUCCUCCCAAGCUAGCAGCCCCCGUCCCUCCCCAGCUAACAGCCUCCUGCCACUUUCAGACACAAGUAUCAGCCUGCGCUGGGGCAGCAGGGGAAGGCUGGGACGAUGUCCCCCUCAUGCUGCUCUGGGUCAGUGCUGGGGGCAAGGGGGCCUGAGGCUGCUGGCACCUUCUGUGCUGGUCUAGUAUUGCCAUGGGGGGGGGAAUGACUGGGCUGGAUGGGCUGCUGAUGUUGGGGGACCUUGCUCUGCUUCAAUGUCUGUGUUUGAUUUUCUCAGGCCCUGCGGGGAGACCUGCCCUCAUCGCCAGGGUGCCUGGCACUGUAGCCUGUGAGCCUCUGUCCCUCUUUCUGCUCAUGUGACCGGCUGUGGGAUCAGUUGGCACUUGGUAUGCUCGGAGCAGCUCAGGGACUAGAAGAGGAAAACAAGCUUUCCUGCUUUUUCAACUUCCAUUUGGUUUCUCAACUUUGAAGUAGUCCAACUGAAGAAAACAGUCUCUCCAUCUGCUACCUAAACUGAAACCAAAAGUAAUUAAGGCAAAAGCUUUUCUGCACAAGAGAAACUAAAAGUACUUCCAUUUGGAAAAAAUGUGACUACCAGCAUUCCUUCUAUUGUAAAGACUGACAAUAAUAUAGAUACUUACUUAAUGCA